AGCGAACGCUGGCGGCAGGCCUAACACAUGCAAGUCGAACGAACUCUUCGGAGUUAGUUGCGGACGGGUGAGUAACACGUGGGAACGUGCCUUUUGGUUCGGAAUAACUCAGGGAAAUUUUUGCUAAUACCGAAUGUGCCCUUCUGGGGAAAGAUUUAUCGCCUUUAUAGCGGCCCGCGUCUGUUUAGCUAGUUGGUGAGGUAACGGCUCACCAAGGCGACGAUCAGUAGCUGGUCUGAGAGGAUGACCAGCCACACUGGGACUGAGACACGGCCCAGACUACUACGGGAGGAAGCAGUGGGGAAUCUUGCGCAAUGGGCGAAAGCCUGACGCAGCCAUGCCGCGUGAAUGAUGAAGGUCUUAGGAUUGUAAAAUUCUUUCACCGGGGACGAUAAUGACGGUACCCGGAGAAGAAGCCCCGGCUAACUUCGUG
This 433-nucleotide ribosomal RNA is filed under the name uncultured bacterium. RNAcentral's name for it is "partial 16S ribosomal RNA". It matches the Rfam family "Bacterial small subunit ribosomal RNA", at positions 29 to 507 of the family's 1533-position model. The record is from RNAcentral.